Molecule: long non-coding RNA, 623 nt
Organism: Homo sapiens (human)
Lineage: Eukaryota; Metazoa; Chordata; Mammalia; Primates; Hominidae
Gene: SNHG5
Product: small nucleolar RNA host gene 5
Source: Ensembl
GCUGCGCACUUCGGUCUUUUACGUCGGCCUUCGCGAGCGUCUGGGCGGGUGGUAGGAACAAUGGCGCUGUCUUCAGUGGCACAGUGGAGCAGCUCUGAAGAUGCAAAGGUAAGAGCUUAGUUAAGCUUAGUUUCCAAACUAAAGGAGUAAACCUGUUGAUUUACAGGAAUAGGAACUGUUGCAUCGUUUGAAAUUUACUUUUUUUUGUUAGAUACACGAAAAAACUUCCAGAACAUCUGGGAGAAUAUUUAAUGGAAAAUCGCUUGGUUAAAACCUGACACUUUUAACAGGUAUGUGUUGUUUUAGUACUUUAUGAUUGAGCAUAGCAUUUAAUCCACACCUAGACUAAAUCAAAUUUUUUUUGUCAGUGAACAGCGUUCUGAGUGUGGACGAGUAGCCAGUGAAGAUAAUGAAUGUCGAAUGUGACUGACUAGCAGCUUCAUUUUGAAUGAGGGUCGCUGUCUGCCCAUUGAUAGAGGCCAGAUUGUCUUGGAAGUUCCAAAGUUGCAACGAUUUCUGUAAGUGGAGUUUUUCUGUUUGCUUAGAGAUCAGUGAAUAUUGUGUCCUUGGUCUUAUCUGUGAUGAUCUUAUCCCGAACCUGAACUUCUGUUGAAAAAAAAAAA